RNAcentral lists this long non-coding RNA (1253 nucleotides) under Homo sapiens (human). RNAcentral describes it as "HSALNT0294944". Lineage: Eukaryota; Metazoa; Chordata; Mammalia; Primates; Hominidae. The record is from RNAcentral.
GCCCUGCCUAAGCGUCCCCGCUACCACAGUAACCGAAGCCACGCCCAGUUCCUGAACCACGUCGGCUCCCCUCCCCCAACACCGUUCGGAAUCCUUGGGUCAACCGCCUCCGUCUCCACAGCAACGGAGUUUCAGAGCGCGCGGCAGCUUGGGGGCGGGGUUCCCAGUCCCCCGGUCAAAUUUUAGGACUUUUCAGCAGGAAAGCUGCACAACUGGAGGAGGGCAGGACGAGGCUGGCCUCGCAGGUCGGGCUACGUUCUUCUACGGUCUGAGGCGUUGUCUAGAAACUCAAAAUCUCUGGAAUCCCAUCCAGGACUCCUCCAUCAAGAUUUCUUCCGAUCCUGAGUAACCAAGAUUGGAAUACUGACCCCUUCAGGAGGCAGCCCAUGCCGUUUUUUCCCAACCGCUCUAAUCUGCCCCAAAUGCUUCCUUAUAUGAAUCCAAAUUUGUCUCUCCUUGACCUCUACCCUCUGCACUGUUUCAGCCUCCGCCUCUGGGGCCUUACUAAACAAGUCCAAUCACCCUUCCACGUGACCCCUUAUCUAACUGUAGGUGGGAUUAAUGUACUUAUCUGCCCAAACAGCUCCAGUCCUUUAAACUGCCUUUUAUUGAUUGUGAGACAAAUUUGAGGACACCCUGGGGCAGAGCGCAACCAAAGGUGCCUUGCGGUCUCAUUAGUCAUAUGGAAUUCAGCACUGACCAGGGCUUAACUAGCCAUUAAGGCCCUGCACUUUGCCUAGAGGAGCCCACCCAGGAUACUACAUUACAUUCAGAUGUCAUGUCUCCUUAGGCUCCUGCAGACUGACAAUUUCUCAAACUUUGUUUUUGAUGACUUUGACAAUUUUGAGGUGGUAUGAUAAUUUGUGAAGUGUUUCUCAUGCUUAGCCUGGAGUUACAAGGUUGGAGAAAAAGACCAAAGAUGUGAAGUGCCAUUCUCAUCACAUCAUGUCAAGGGUACAUGCUGUUAACAUGAAUUAACAUCGAUGAUGUUAACCUUGAUGUCCUGGCUGAGAUGAACUCUCUUGGAUAGAAGGAUUCAAACAGAAAAAUGCAAAAAGAAGUCAGAUGGAAAACUCUGGAAAAUCCAAGAAGGGAGCUAGUUGAUGAUGAGCAAAGCCACAUGUGCUGUCUUGACAGCCAUAGAGAAGAAUGGAGGCCUCCAUACCUGAGUGGAAAGAGAAGAACAUGGGCAAUGAUUUUGUCUCUACAAAACAACAACAACAACAGACAAACAAAAUUAGCUGAGUGUGGUG